UACAAAUCCAUAAACAAAAGCUAUCAAGAACUGGUGUCACAAUCUCACAUACUGUCUAGGAAUACUACAAAUAGGGGUCUGAAAGAUAAAUACAAAGUUGUUUCUGAAAUACAUAAAAGAAACAUUAUGCAAAGAUAGAAGGAGAUGCCAAGGCCUGCGGACGCCUGCAGGACUACCUCGGGUCGCCUGAUGGAUUGAAGGCAGCAACUUCACUAUGGUCCAAAUGUUGCAGCACCAGGAUCUACACACAGUACAGAGUGUAGUAUCAGCACAACCGACCUCAUGUGCUCGCAAGUGCCUAGCCUAACCUCGGUGAAGUAGUGACGAGGCUAGGACAAGACUACCAAAUAAACCUAUGCAGUUAUAUCAUAUACAGACAAAUCUUAGUAAAGACGUGAAAAGAACACGAAAAUUGAACUGUAAACAAGAAUAAGGAAAUCAAAGACAAGUGCACGACAUCACCCUUUGUGCUUUUACUCUCGUCCUCACCAUAAGAAUCAAUAUAAUCGGUACGGCAUCACCCUUCGUGCAUUAACACUCUCAAAAUCAUGCACGACAUCACCCUUCAUGCUUUUACACUCUUCCUCACCCAAGCAACAAACACAAAGCAAUUUGGGAAAGGGAAUCAAUAAUAUCACAAUAAGAUCUAGGCAAGGGAACAAUAGCAUAACGACAAUAUCCCGGCAAGGGAAAUAAUAUCAUGAGUAAUAACAUCCCGGCAAGGGAGAUAAUAUCAAAAGUAAUAACAUCCCGACAAGGGAGACAAUAUCAUAAACCUUUUCUCUUUUCCACAAUUACUUCACAACUCAAUUCUCAACUUGAGCCAACACUCUACAAUGUUUAAUUACCAAUAAAACUUCCACAAGCCUUGUUCAACAAUAGAAUUCAUCAUAUAAAGCAUGAACAAUACGAAACAGAGUCACAUUAAUCAUAGUAUAAGACUCACAGGCAUGCUUGACACUGACGUAUAGAUACUCGUCACCACACUUAUACGUCGUACUCAACAAUUAACACUUAGCAAAUAAGACACAACUUCUAAUCCCUCAAGCUAAGGUUAGACCAAACACUUACCUCAAUGUUACGAACACAAUUCAAGCCUCAACUACCUAUUUACCUCUUGUUUCCACCACCAAUUCGCUUAUAUCUAGCCACAAUUUACUUAACGAUAUCAAUAAAUGCUAAAUGAAUCAAUUCUAAUGCAUGAAAAUAGGUUUUCUAAAGAUUUCCCCAAAAGGUCAAAAACGACCCCGAGCCCACAUGGUCAAAACACGAGGUUCGAACCAAAAUCCGAUUACCCAUUCACCCACGAACUAAAAUAUAUAAUUUGUUUUGAAAUCAGACCUCAAAUAGAGGUCCAAAUCGCUAAAAUUUGAAAAUCUUAAGUUCUACCCAAAACACCCAAUUUCCCCCGUGAAAACCCUUGAUUUUGAGUUGAAAUCAUGUAAAACUAUGUUAUGGAUUGAAGAAAAUGAGUUAUAAAUGACUUACAAUUGAUUUGGGGAAGAACUAUUCUUUAGAAAAUCGCCCAAGAGAGUUUAGGAUUUGAGAGAGUUUGAAAAAUGAAAAAAAAAUGUGUCUACGUACUAAUUCACUGGUCGCAGAUGUCGUAAUUGCGACUAGGGUUCGCAAUUGUGAACCCCUUCAGGACCUAUUGGAUUUGCAUUUGCGAGAAAUCAGUCGUAUUUGCGACAUCGCAUUUGCGAUAGAAGUGUCGCAUUUGCGACCAAGGCCUGCCCAGGCUAGGUUCGCAUUUGUGACACCUGGGUCGCAAUUCCCAUGCCUGAGGACUUUGCAAUUGCAAAGCCUAAUCUCGCAAUUGCGAGAUCAGAGGCCUAUUCAGAGGCCUGCGCAAAAUAUCAGAUACCAGCAACUUUUUCCUAAGUCCAAUUUCAUUCUAUGGCCUAUCCAAUACUCACCCGAGCCCUCGGGGCUCCAAACCAAACAUGCACGCAAGUCCAAAAAUAUCAUACAGACAUGCUCGCGCAAUCAAAUCAUCAAAAUAACAUCAACAACUAUGAAUUAAAUCUCAAAUUUAUGAAAUCAUUCAAGAAGAUCAAAAAUACUAUUUUCUCAACUAUAGGUCCGUUUUAUACCAAACCAACUCCGAUCUUUACCAAAUUUUACAGAUUCAUCUUAAUUAUUAUUUCAAACAGGUAUCGGGUUCCGCAACUAAGAUAAGGCCCGAUACCAUCAAGAAAAUGCAUCAAUUCACUUCUAAAAACCUUUAUAUUUUUCAGAAAAUAAUUUUCUUUCAAAAAUUUAAUUCUCGGGCUUGGGACCUCGGAAUUCGAUUGUGGGCAAAUACCAAGUCCCAAAUUUUACUACGGACCCUACGAGACCGUCGGAUCACGGGUCCGGGUCCGUUUACCAAGAACAUUGACAAAAGUCAACUUUAUUUAAUUUUAAAAGUCAAUUUCCUUAUUUUACUUAGUUUUCACAUAAAAGCUUUCCGGAAACGCACCAGGACUGUGCACGCAAAUCGAGGUGAGACAAAAAAGAGGUUUUUAAGGCCUCGAAACAUAGAAUUUACUUUCAAAACGAGUAUUUUCCUUCAUCUCUUUUUCUUCUAAUUAUCACUCUUUUCCUUCCUCUCAUUUCUCACAUCCCAUAAUUUCACCUCUCUUUUUUUCUUUUAUUUUUUCCCUUUUUAUUUUAACUUUAAAAAAAUGAUUCGAUCGAACCCUAUGUAGGUUGCCUACGUAUCAUGAUGCCGCAUAAAUCAGAUCUUUGGGUAGUUCGGAAAAAAUCGAGAAUAGACUAAAUAAACUAACGUUCUCUUCUUCUUCUUUUUCUGGUUUGUUUUUUCUUCUUUACCUUAAUGACUACUCUAAUGAGAAAAAAAAAAGAAAAUCUCUCUAAUUUUAUAGACUUAACGUUCUAUAAUCUAUUCUAAAUUCAACGAGCAUAUUUGUUUUUUGAAACACAUACUCUAUGAAAAAUAUUAAGGAAAAUAACCUAGACGAGAAAAAUAUUUUUGAUUCUUUUUUUAUGGAGGAAAUCUAAAGAAUAAUCCAAAUAAAAAUAUUUUGAAUUUUCAUUUGAUAUCCUGAAAAAAGAUUUCGAAACGAGAAAUAAAAAAAAUAAAAAAAAUAUAUUUUUGGAUUUCAGUUUUUGAUUACCUAAGGGAGAAACUCUAAAGAUAAAUAAAAGAUAAAGUAUGUUUUUUUCUUCUAUAUAUAAUGUCCAAAAGUUCUAGUGAAAAUAAAAAGAAUAUAUUUUUUAUUUUUUUUAUUAAUUUCCCAAAGAAGAACCUCAAAAGGAAAAUCUUUUGGAUUUUUGGAAUUAAUAUCUUAAAAAAAAAACUUCUAAAGAGGUAUCAAAAGAAAUUUUUUUGUUUGAAUUUUUAGUCUCAAUAUACUAAAGAAAAUAUAAAAGCAAUUUUUAUUGAGUUCUAGAUAUUAAUUUCCUAAAUGAAAACCACCUCAAAAGAAAAUUAGGGGAUUUUUUCAAAUUUAAGUGACAAAAUCGUAACGGGAUUACUUUGUUCAGAUUCAGAGUCGCCACUUGAGAUAAUUUAUGGUGUCUCAAGUCACCGGUUUAAAAUCCCAAAUCGAGGAAGUUUGACUCUGUUUUACAGUCCGCGAAACACAGAAAUCUGGGUAAGGAAUGUUGUUAACUCGAGAGAAGGUGUUAGACAUUCUCAGGUUCCGUGGUUUUAGCCCUGUCACUCAACUAUUAUUAAUUGGCCUAAUUAUCUAAUUAAUAACAUAUUUUAUACCUAUUAUUCAGUUUUAACCUUUUAAAUCACUUUUAAUUAUCUAUGGAAUUAUUUUUGGAACAAGUUACGAUUGUCGUACACUUGUUUGUUUUUGUACAUGUUGUGAAUCGUGUCACAAGAACCGUACCCACAAUCUACAACACGUGUAUUUUAUUAAGGUUUGAAGUUGUGGUCGGGUCACAUGAAAUGUGCACCCGAAUUUGGGAAUUACAUAUUGUAACCAUGCCACGAGAACCGUACUCAUAGUCACGAUGAUUCAUUAUUAAUCGUGCCGAAAAGCAAGCUACGAGGUUUAUGAAUUAUUUUCUAAACUACUUUGAGAUUACCCGUGAAAGGCCUGCGAUUAUGGAGCACUUUUGCUAAAAGAGAUUUCAUGCUCAUAUCCUUUUAACUUCUCCUUUUAUUAGACCGAGCCCGAUACAUAAAGCAUGUAGACAAAUCAGUUGCUAAUAGGCUUCGGUCUCUCCCCCACUCCUAUGGCCCCAACAAUCAGUCAAACGAUUUUAACAAAAAUCAAAUGAGCAAACAGUAACAAUCAAGAGAAAGAAAUAAAGACCUAAUUAAUUAGACUACAAAGAAAGAAAGACACAGAAAAUUGAUUCAAGCCUCACAAGAGCUGCUACUACCCCAUUUGCUAACCCAAAAGCCAAUUUUCAAACUAAAACUUAAAAAUAUGUGUAUUAACCUCAAACCCCAUUCGAUCAAAUUUUAGUUAUGUCUUAUUUCCACAAACUAAUCACACCACUCCAUUGUAAAUGUUAAACCAAAUCCAUUAGUUCCGAUAAAUAUCCAAACGCAAAGCGCACCUAAAGAGGCAAAGCAGGCAAUUUGUGAGUUACAAUAAGCCAAACAAGACCAUAUUCGACCAAAUUUUGAAUAACACCAAUGAAUAUAACAACCCAUAUGGGCAAAACUUCACAUAAGAUACCAGCAAGGAAUCCAAAAGCAUCACCAAAAUCCAUCCGAACAAAUUAAACUAAACAACAACAAUAAAAUGACAUUCAAAAACAGAGCAUUGAUAGCUUAACAAAAUUAUAAAAGCAUGAUGUUAAGAAAACAAGAAGUAGAAGGACAUGAGAGAUCGACCUCAAUGAAUCUGAAGCUUAAUUUUAUGGCAAUUUUGAAACACAAGCGUCGGAACCUCGAACAAGAUUUUUGCCAAAAAUUCUCACUGAACACUAACUUGAUGGGUUGAAAAUAGCAUACAAUGGAGAUUAACGAUAAUGAAAGAUGACACAAGGGACAUAAACCAAUGGCUUGAAGUUUUCGAUGGCUCGACCACUGAUUACGGGGACAAUAGUAUUACGGUGGGUUUCAAUGGAUUUUGUGUAGGAGCUCGAUGGAAAUAGGGACGAUGGGCUAGUGGAUCUCUGUGUUUGAAUUCGAUAGGAAGAUGUCUUGAUGGCAGGUAGAGACGCUGCUUAGUGGUGAAGGGGUGGGGUCGCGACGGCGGUUGGUGGCUGAUGUUUGGUGGUGUGAAGUGAAGAAGCAGCAGCGGCUGCUUAUUGUUGGCUGCUGAAAAUCAAAAGAAGAAGAAGGUCCAGCCUUCUUCUCUUCUGAUGUGUGUGUCUUCAGUGAUGGGGAUGCAGACAGAGUUGCUUCUCUAUUGAAGACGUUCAGUGGGGUUUUCUUUGGUUUUUUGUGGCUGAUCUUCUGAAGGUUAGAGAUGACAGCCUUUUGUGUUUUUGAGGGUCUCUAGUUUAGGGAAAGUCCAAAAAUGGUUGAAGCUGAG
RNAcentral lists this long non-coding RNA (5450 nucleotides) under Nicotiana tabacum (common tobacco). RNAcentral's name for it is "long non-coding RNA (NTAB_LNC013464)". Lineage: Eukaryota; Viridiplantae; Streptophyta; Magnoliopsida; Solanales; Solanaceae. The record is from RNAcentral.